CUGCCCCUGUCAGGGGGACAACCCGCCGAAAGGCGGGCUAAACCCGCGUACAUGCCACCGGGGCAUCCCGGAGGCAGGAAAGGCUUCGGCCGGACAGGGAUGGGCAUGCGGCGCAUUAGGCAGUAGGCGGGGUAACGGCCCACCUAACCGACGAUGCGUAGGGGUUCUGAGAGGAAGGUCCCCCACACUGGUACUGAGACACGGACCAGACUCCUACGGGAGGCAGCAGUGAGGAAUAUUGGUCAAUGGUCGGGAGACUGAACCAGCCAAGCCGCGUGAGGGAGGAAGGUACAGAGUAUCGUAAACCUCUUUUGUCAGGGAACAAAGACUGGGACGCGUCCCCGGAUGAGUGUACCUGAAGAAAAAGCAUCGGCUAACUCCGUGCCAGCAGCCGCGGUAAUACGGAGGAUGCGAGCGUUAUCCGGAUUUAUUGGGCUUAAAGGGUGCGCAGGCGGUCUGUUAAGUCAGCGGUCAAAGCCCGGGGCUCAACCCCGGCCCGCCGUUGAAACUGGCAGUCUCGAGUUGGAGAGAAGUAUGCGGAAUGCGCGGUGUAGCGGUGAAAUGCAUAGAUAUCGCGCAGAACUCCGAUUGCGAAGGCAGCAUGCCGGCUCCACACUGACGCUGAGGCACGAAAGCGUGGGUAUCGAACAGGAUUAGAUACCCUGGUAGUCCACGCAGUAAAC
This 683-nucleotide ribosomal RNA is filed under the name uncultured bacterium. Its description in RNAcentral is "bacterial SSU rRNA". It matches the Rfam family "Bacterial small subunit ribosomal RNA", at positions 126 to 807 of the family's 1533-position model. The record is from RNAcentral.